Molecule: long non-coding RNA, 2904 nt
Organism: Gasterosteus aculeatus aculeatus (three-spined stickleback)
Lineage: Eukaryota; Metazoa; Chordata; Actinopteri; Perciformes; Gasterosteidae
Source: Ensembl
AAAGGAAAGUGGACACCGAAAGUAGAGCAUUUAACCCUCAAUGGACGGACUCGUUUCUGUUCAUACUUCCCACUACAGCACUAAACCAGUGUCUGAUAUGCUCCGAACCCAUUGAAAUGCCAUCAUGUGGCUCAAUGAGCUUCUCCGCCUGAGGAGGAGAACGGCCCUGAUGUAUUCCGGUCCAGGUUUUAAAUCCUGGCAUUUAUAAUUUGCAGAGACUGUCCAAAUGUGAAGCAGAAAUUUAAGCUCAUCUUCCCGUUAUUUUAUUUUUUCUGAAUCGAAGCACUGAACAUGCAGAAAUUUAAAUGCAGCCCUACUUUUAUUUAGUCAAUUGAGACAUUAUAGACAGUGGAGAUGGUUGUGGAUUUCCGAAGGAACACAGCCCCACCUUCCCUGUGUGUGUUAGGGACCCGGUUUUAUUAACAGUUUUUUCCCCCAGUCUGUGCUUUUGUUUUUGCUUGUUUUGUUUUUCCACCUGUGUGUUCCGCCUCCGGCCCCACCCCUCUCCCACGUGCCCAGCUGUGGCUCAUUCCGGGGAUCACUGGUGACGAGCAUAAAGGCUCCUGCUUUCAGAGGCUCGUCGUCGUCGUCAGUCCGUCCCAGUACCCAGGCUGGUCUCAGGUGCCGUUGAUACUGAGAUACAGCAGCUAAGCCAGUUUAUUCAUGUUUUGGUUUGUUUUUGUGUCAGACCCACGGAGUACCACGGAGUGCACGUAACCUGCUUUUGAGUUGGACUGUGAGUAUGGUGUCGGGCCUCGGGUUUCCACACCAGACCCUGCUUGAGCCACCCCAGACCGCCAGACGUCGGUGGAGUUUCCCUCCCGACUCCAGUUGAGCCAGAGGAGCGCUUUCUGUUUGCCGUAUUCCCCUUGUUUUUUUGUGAAAAAUUAAGUCAUUUGGCUGAAAAUCCAAGGCUGCUGUGCGUGUGCUUUUGGGUCCACCAAAUACACCCCACCCCCUAACAGUGUGAUUCCACUGCUGUGGACUCCUUCCGUUUCCUGGCCUCCAUCAUAUCCAAGGCCCUCAAGUCCAUCACCAAGAAGGCUCAUCAGAGGCUGUUAUUCCUGAGGUCCUGAGGCUAAGGAGAUGGCUGUAAACCAGGAAAAGAGAGUCAGAAAACGUACAGUUUUUAGGGAUUUUGUCCAAAAUGUUUCAACUGAUGAUGACAACACAAUUUCAAAGGGAGCUGUAGCGCGUUCUAGGAACUCUACAGGAAAUCCUUCACAGUUUUUGUUUCAGAAGUCUGCCAGUGCCUCCCCAAAAUUAAAAAAAAAAAAACACAAAUACAUCAACCUCUCCACCACCACACAGUCUUUAUCCUGGGUCUGAGGAUCUUUUCCAGACUGAAGAGAAAGGCAGCGGCCACACAACUUUCUCCAACACCUUCAUGGCUGUCGUAGCAUCUUUGGAUGACACGUGGGUUUCAGAUGGAAUCUCCACUCCUCGCACCCCCAAUCCUGUCUCGGCAAGGAAAUCUGGAAGACAAUCCCCCAGUCAAAUGUGGAAAGGCAAAAAGGGUAUAUUUUUCCCAUGUCCACAGCAAGUAAGUAAACGCUUUGCCAAUUCUAUAUUUGUCUGUAAUAUAUUCAUCAAUGACCAUGCAAACAACAUUUUAUGAAUUUGUUGUUUUUGUAAGAAUUCCAAAGGGUGGUCCUUGGGAAGUCAAGGUGGACCUGACGGAAGAGGUUCACCAAAUUAGAAGGGAGGUGGAGCCCGACGGUUUUAUCCACGAGGUCCCAAAAUUAAAACUGCAAGUGGAACUUGAUGUGCUGGAGGGGACAUUAAAAGAUGCAGACCAGCGGACAUCAUUGGUAAAAAUUAGAUAAUGGUUAAACUUUUUGGAAAUGUAUUUUUACAAAAGAGGUUAUUUAUUUAUUUCAGACCCAGAGGGAUCCAUAAUACAGUGCAAAGCAGACACACAUUGUAAUAGAUACAAAAAACUAAAAAUAAAUAAAAAGAAUAGCAAUACAACGUAUAAAACCCUUCAACAGUUCAUUGUCUAACAUACUUGUUCUCCAGUGGUUCCACAACCUGGACGCAAAUCUUACAGAACUUAGUCCUGUGUUAGCCAACACAAUGAUUAUGUCAUUUUCUGACUCCGAUACCCUAUCCAUUAAUCUGUACAUCAAGUUGCGCAAUACUGCAGUACAGGUACUUUUCAUGUAAACAAUAUUAACACAUUAAGAAAUACCUUAAAACACAUAUACACAAUUUUGACAGGUUCAUUUGCUGGCCAAAGUAGGGGGCAAGACGGUGAAGGAUGCAACCAAUAAAAUAUUGGACAGGUAUGAACAUCAUACAGACACUGUAAUAUCUGCCAAAUAUAGAAGUCAAAAGUAAACCAUAAACAAACAACUGAAAUUGCAGGGAUACAUUAUGGAGGAAUUACUGGCAGUUGAAAAUGCGGAAGUGACCCUAUUUUGUGAUUCUCAGACUUUUCACAAACCAAUUAAUGCCCACUUUCAACAUGAAAGGGGGUGGCCAAAAAAACAAGAAGGCUUUUAGGGUUACUGGGCUGUACGCGGUGAUUAAAAGGUAUGUUCAGAUAUGUAAAAUACAUUUAAUGAGUGGUUGUACUGUAAAAGUCUAUUUUCAUGUUGAUAUAUAAUCAAUAAGGCUGUCAUGCGGCCAUACAGCAGUGCCACAGAGGCAGAGGUUAAUAAGGCGAUGGCGGACCAUUUGAAGCAGGCUCCUGGGAGGUCCGGUGGGGGCGGUUUUUAAAAAAGGAGACGUCACAGACCGGACGUAACUAGUUCAAUUGUUGGAUCAGAAUGUUCUUUUGCAGUUUCAGUUCACAUGUAUAUUUCUUUUAAAUAUUUUUAUAUUUUAUGAAAUACUCAUAUUUAGACUUGUAUGAUUGUUUUUAAGAAUCAUUAUGUAUGUUGUAAUUAUAUUGUUUAUUAA